UUAGAGUUUGAUCAUGGCUCAGAUUGAACGCUGGCGGCAUGCCUUACACAUGCAAGUCGAACGCGAAAGGGGGGCAACCCCUGAGUAGAGUGGCGAACGGGUGAGUAAUACAUCGGAACGUGUCCAGUAGCGGGGGAUAACCUCUCGAAAGAGAGGCUAAUACCGCAUACGUCCUACGGGAGAAAGAGGGGGAUCGCAAGACCUCUCACUAUUGGAGCGGCCGAUGUCGGAUUAGCUAGUUGGCGGGGUAACGGCCCACCAAGGCGACGAUCCGUAGCUGGUCUGAGAGGACGACCAGCCACACUGGAACUGAGACACGGUCCAGACUCCUACGGGAGGCAGCAGUGGGGAAUUUUGGACAAUGGGCGCAAGCCUGAUCCAGCCAUGCCGCGUGAGUGAAGAAGGCCUUCGGGUUGUAAAGCUCUUUCGGCGGGGACGAAAAGGUCCGUGCUAACACCACGGAUCCAUGACGGUACCCGCAGAAGAAGCACCGGCUAACUACGUGCCAGCAGCCGCGGUAAUACGUAGGGUGCAGGCGUUAAUCGGAAUUACUGGGCGUAAAGCGUGCGCAGGCGGUUUGCUAAGACAGGUGUGAAAUCCCCGGGCUUAACCUGGGAACUGCGCUUGUAACUGGCAAGCUUGAGUGUGGCAGAGGGGGGUGGAAUUCCACGUGUAGCAGUGAAAUGCGUAGAGAUGUGGAGGAACACCGAUGGCGAAGGCAGCCCCCUGGGCUAACACUGACGCUCAUGCACGAAAGCGUGGGGAGCAAACAGGAUUAGAUACCCUGGUAGUCCACGCCCUAAACUAUGUCAACUGGUUGUCGGGGAAGCAAUUCCUUGGUAACGAAGCUAACGCGUGAAGUUGACCGCCUGGGGAGUACGGCCGCAAGGUUAAAACUCAAAGGAAUUGACGGGGACCCGCACAAGCGGUGGAUUAUGUGGAUUAAUUCGAUGCAACGCGAAAAACCUUACCUACCCUUGACAUGCCAGGAACCCUCCAGAGAUGGAGGGGUGCCCGAAAGGGAACCUGGACACAGGUGCUGCAUGGCUGUCGUCAGCCUCGUGUCGUGAGAUGUUUGGGUUAAGUCCCGCAACGAGCGCAACCCUUGCCAUUAGUUGCCACAUUCAGUUGGGCACUCUAAUGGGACUGCCGGUGACAAACCGGAGGAAGGUGGGGAUGACGUCAAGUCCUCAUGGCCCUUAUGGGUAGGGCUUCACACGUAAUACAAUGGCCGGUACAGAGGGCAGCCAACUCGCGAGAGGGAGCUAAUCCCAGAAAGCCGGUCGUAGUCCGGAUUGCAGUCUGCAACUCGACUGCAUGAAGCCGGAAUCGCUAGUAAUCGCGGAUCAGCAUGUCGCGGUGAAUACGUUCCCGGGUCUUGUACACACCGCCCGUCACACCAUGGGAGUGGGUUUCACCAGAAGUAGUUAGCCUAACCGCAAGGAGGGCGACUACCACGGUGAGAUUCAUGACUGGGGUGAAGUCGUAACAAGGUAGCCG
This 1500-nucleotide ribosomal RNA is filed under the name uncultured bacterium. Its description in RNAcentral is "bacterial SSU rRNA". It matches the Rfam family "Bacterial small subunit ribosomal RNA". The record is from RNAcentral.